GACAGGGCCCCUCUGAUCCUUCAUCAUCUUGGAUGUCUUGGGGUGGAGGAGGUGCUUUUCCCCGGCUCCCCCAAUCGACUAAGUUUCUCCUCUCCCUCCUAUUUCUAGGAGGAGGGGGAACAUGCUCUUCUUCGUGGUCUGACCGAACCGACCCUCUUGAAGGGCGGACCCUAUUGCUAGGAUCGUUCCCUAUCCGGUCGAAGACGCUCACUGACCUCUGGUCAUCGUCUUCUUG
RNAcentral lists this long non-coding RNA (235 nucleotides) under Olea europaea (common olive). RNAcentral describes it as "long non-coding RNA (OEUR_LNC003736)". Lineage: Eukaryota; Viridiplantae; Streptophyta; Magnoliopsida; Lamiales; Oleaceae. The record is from RNAcentral.